AGAGUUUGAUCAUGGCUCAGAAUCAACGCUGGCGGCGUGCCUCAGACAUGCAAGUCGAACGCGAAAGUCCCCUUCGGGGGACAAGUAGAGUGGCGCACGGGUGAGUAACACGUAGGUAAUCUACCUUUGGAUUGGGAAUAACCACCGGAAACGGUGGCUAAUACCGAAUAAUGCAGCGGCACCUAAUGGUGACAGUUGUUAAAGCGGGGGAUCGCAAGACCUCGCGUCUGAAGAGGAGCCUGCGGCAGAUUAGCUAGUUGGUAAGGUAACGGCUUACCAAGGCGAUGAUCUGUAGCCGGCCUGAGAGGGCGGUCGGCCACACUGACACUGACAUACGGGUCAGACUCCUACGGGAGGCAGCAGUCGGGAAUUUUGGGCAAUGGGCGAAAGCCUGA
This 395-nucleotide ribosomal RNA is filed under the name uncultured Acidobacteriota bacterium. Its description in RNAcentral is "bacterial SSU rRNA". It matches the Rfam family "Bacterial small subunit ribosomal RNA", at positions 8 to 386 of the family's 1533-position model. Lineage: Bacteria; Pseudomonadati; Acidobacteriota. The record is from RNAcentral.